This 331-nucleotide ribosomal RNA is filed under the name uncultured bacterium. RNAcentral's name for it is "bacterial SSU rRNA". It matches the Rfam family "Bacterial small subunit ribosomal RNA", at positions 30 to 355 of the family's 1533-position model. The record is from RNAcentral.
AUUGAACGCUGGCGGCAUGCCUUACACAUGCAAGUCGAACGGCAGCACAGAGGAGCUUGCUCCUUGGGUGGCGAGUGGCGGACGGGUGAGGAAUACAUCGGAAUCUACUCUGUCGUGGAGGAUAACGUAGGGAAACUUACGCUAACACCGCAUACGACCUACGGGUGAAAGCAGGGGAUCUUCGGACCUUGCGUGAUUGAAUGAGCCGAUGUCAGAUUAGCUAGUUGGCGGGGUAAAGGCCUACCAAGGCGACGAUCCGUAGCUGGUCUGAGAGGAUGAUCAGCCACACUGGAACUGAGACACGGUCCAGACUCCUACGGGAGGCAGCAUG